GACGAACGCUGGCGGCGUGCUUAACACAUGCAAGUCGAACGAUGAAGCCAGCUUGCUGGUGGAUUAGUGGCGAACGGGUGCGUAACACGUGGGUGAUCUGCCCCAAACUUUGGGAUAAGCCUGGGAAACUGGGUCUAAUACCGAAUAUGACCGAUACUCGCAUGGGUGUUGGUGGAAAGCUCCGGCGGUUUGGGAUGGGCCCGCGGCCUAUCAGCUUGUUGGUGGGGUAAUGGCCUACCAAGGCGACGACGGGUAGCCGGCCUGAGAGGGCGACCGGCCACACUGGGACUGAGACACGGCCCAGACUCCUAUGGGAGGCAGCAGUGGGGAAUAUUGCACAAUGGGCGCAAGCCUGAUGCAGCGACGCCGCGUGAGGGAUGACGGCCUUCGGGUUGUAAACCUCUUUCACCAGGGACGAAGCGAAAGUGACGGUACCUGGAGAAGAAGCACCGGCCAACUACGUG
This 464-nucleotide ribosomal RNA is filed under the name uncultured bacterium. RNAcentral's name for it is "partial 16S ribosomal RNA". It matches the Rfam family "Bacterial small subunit ribosomal RNA", at positions 28 to 507 of the family's 1533-position model. The record is from RNAcentral.